Long non-coding RNA from Lemur catta (Ring-tailed lemur), 983 nucleotides. RefSeq lists it as uncharacterized. Lineage: Eukaryota; Metazoa; Chordata; Mammalia; Primates; Lemuridae. The transcript is spliced from 3 exons. The record is from RefSeq and is a predicted model, not a curated record.
UCUCUCCAGUUGCAGCGCCGAGUCACCCACGUAGCCUCCGGCAGGGUCGAUGCCAUGUUCGUCGCUGAUCACUUCCCAAAACUUGGGCAAGCGAGGAGGGGGACAGAAGGAAAUGUUGGUGUGAGCUUCUGUAUGACUUCUGGUUAAAUGAUGCUGCUGUCUGAGUCAGAUUUCUGACGAGGGAAACGCUCCCAACUCUCCUGCUGACUUGCCAACUACGUUGAUAGGCAUUAGGGUAUCACAAAGGAUGCCAAAGAAGAGGCACGUGGCUCACGUGUGGGGGAAGCGUCCUGGAGCUUCCACGCCCUCCCAGGGCCCGCCACCUCCAGCAGCCGCCCUGAGUUCAGCCGUGUGGCAGCUCCGGGAUGUCUGUGGAGGCUUCGUUACCCUGGCAUGGUUGGUUAAACCACUGGCCCACCCUCAGCCCCUCUCCUCUGCCUAGAGGUUGGGGUGAGGCUGAAAGUCCCAACUCUCUGAUCACAGGGCAGCCUCCCCCGGCCUGAGCCCAGCCAGGAACCCCGCACGAGUAUCCUCAUUACAACAACAGACGCCCCCACCACCCAGGAGAUCCCACGGGAUUUAGGAGUCCUGGGUCAGCUGCUGCCAUCGCUCGGGAAAUCGCAACACUCUUGGGAGCUUUGUGUCCGGAACUGGAGGCAGAGGCCAAAUGUAUAUUUCUUAUUAUUAGUAUAUCAUAACGCUCUGGCCUGGCCGUGGAGGGGCAGAAUGGCCUGGCUCUGAGCAGCAGAGACCUCCACAGACUGGCAGCUGCGGGUCACAGCCAGAGGUCGUCUCAGGGGAGGCCUGGGUGGCACACCAUCCCAGUGGUUGGAGCAUGUCACCCAAUGCCUUGGCACCCAAGCCCCCAGAUCAUCUGGUGUGAACCCCCGGGGCGUGCAGAGAGAAAGACCACUCAGUGGAUGGAGGCUCGGAAUAAAAGCCAGUGCGCUGACAGGUUUUAAAAGCUAUACUUAUUUAAAGUG